CGGGCGCGCGCGCGCACGCCAAACCCUUUCCUCUCGCGCGCGGGCGGAGGGAGGACGUUGAAGAGUCGUGGGCCUAGGAAAAAAGCGAUUGGUGCUGGGGCGGGCAAAGGGCAAGUGCGCGCACGCGCACGGAUGGGAGUGCGCACGCAGACUGCGCGGAGGGCGCCGGACUCUGGCUGCGGCUGUAGUUUGCUGAUCCUCGCUUGGGUACCCGCCCUUAGAGGCCCGGCGUUGAAUUCCGGGAAGUGGGAGCUGCAGGCUCGCUCCGUGCGGAGAGAUACCUGCAGACCCAGCUCUUCAAGCAGAGAUUGGCCAAGUCCAGCCAUUAUGCCCCUGUGCUGACCCACUAGCACCAUAUCCGGAUCUGCAGGUAGUGAACAUCCUGUAUGUCCUUCAUCGUCUGCCUGGACUCACGGCAGCUUCCCUUUGCUCUUUGUUUGGCAGUGGUCGCUUGGGCCUCCUGAGGAGAAGAAUUCCAAGAAGGGCCAGGGUGGGGCUGGAGCACUCCUAGAGAUAACCAGGAGGAGAGUUAAGCACACCCAUCCCCUCCUGGAGUGGUGGAUUGUCUAGUUUUCCAGUCAGAUAAUGGGAUCAACACUUUGAAAAAAAACAUGUAUUCUAGGGAUGAUGCUUCUCUAUUUUUCAUUGAUACUAUAGAAAAAUGUUUUUGAAUGUACAUACUUUUAUAUUCCAUUAAUAAGUACAAUUAUCUACCCAUAUCAUUUUUUCCUGCCAUUUCAGUAACUUAAUUUGAGAGAAGUAAAAAUGCUUUGUUUUUUUCUUUAAACAUGCACAAUCUACUUUCUAAAAUUCUGCAAGCAUUAAAAAGAAGCAAUUCUUAAAACACAUACCAUUUACCAAGAAAUCUGUUAAUGUUCAGGUGGUGCUGCAGUUUUCUAGGCAGAAUAUUUAAACCAUAUGUGCAGUAAUAGCCACAUACCUCCUUUGGACAAUAUGGAAUUACUUUCCCUAAGGUAUUUUCAAAAAAUGUCCAUGUAUUUUUUAGCAAUGGAACUUUUUUUUUUUUUUUGAAAUGGAAUUUCACUCUUCUUGCCUAGGCUGGAGUGCAAUGGGGUGAUCUUGGCUCACUGCAGCCUCCGCCUCCCAGGUUCAGGUGAUUCUCCUGCCUUUGACUCCUGAGUACCCGGGAUUACAGGCAUGUGCCAUCACACCUGGCUAAUUUUGUUCUUUUAAUAGAGAGAGGGUUUCUCCAUUUUGGUCAGGCUUGUCUCAAACUCCCAACCUCAGGUAAUCCGCUGGCCUAGGCCUCUCAAAGUGCUGGGAUUACAGGUGUGAGCCACUAUGCCUGGCCACAGUGAAACUAUUUUUAAACAAAAAUUUGCUUAGAAUCUUACAAGUUGAAGAGGUAAACAUAGCGAGGCUAGAAUUGAAGCAGGGUUGGGAUGCAGAGGCUCUUUCACUCAGCCAUUUAUCCAUUUUCCUAGAAGCCCUGUAGGUUUCACCAAGAAACCUGGGUCCCUAAGACAUCUAGUUUGGGAACUGGCAUAAGGAACAUGCACUGGAUUGGAAUCUGAAAGCUUUGUUCUGAGUUUGAGACUUGGAGCUUGUCAUUAACUUUCUCUGGUUUUUGGUUCCCUGAUGGUAUAGUAGAGGUAUAAGAUGUAGAUGAUCGGCCGGGCGCAGUGGCUUAAGCCUGUAAUCCCAGCACUUUGGGAGGCCGAGGCGGGUGGAUCACGAGGUCAAGAGAUCGAGACCAUCCUGGUCAACAUGGUGAAACCCCGUCUCUACUAAAAAUACAAAAAAUUAGCUGGGCAUGGUGGCACGUGCCUGUAAUCCCAGCUACUCAGGAGGCUGAGGCAGGAGAAUUGGCUGAACCCAGGAGGGCGAGGUUGCGGUGAGCCAAGAUCACACCAUUGCAUUCCAGCCUGAGUAGUAAGAGCAAAACUCUGUCUCAGACAAAAAAAAAAAAAAAAAAGAUGUAGAUGAUCUCUAAGGUGCUGCCCAGCUCUAAAACUUUUUGAUCUCAAGGGCUCCUGGUGAUAAAUUACUCCACAUCUGUCCAAUUAAUGCUGGAGAUUUAAUCUAAAUUCAUGAGCAAGCCAGGCUGUGCCAAAGAGGAAAUUGUUCACAACUCUGUAUUUGGCAUUGUUUUUAACACUGGAAGCAAAUUCCAUUUUUCACGUUGGCUACAUUCAUCCCUGAUUAUGAACCAAGAAUUAUUUCAACAUUGCCUAGUUUAUCUGACAUAAGUAAGGAAUGUUUAUGUCGCAUAUUUGAAAACUCUGACUUCUCUUUCAUGAGUAUCAAGUUGAACAAAACCUUGGCACAUAGUAAGCACUCAAUAAAUAGUUGUUGUUUCUUAUGACCUUGCUAAAAACCACUGAAUUGUACACUUUAAAAGAGUGAAUUUAUAGUAUAUGAAUUGUAUCUGUUUUUUAAGUUGUUGAAUGAAUGAAUUAAAUAGUUAUAUUUGUUGCAAUUUUAAAAUCCUCAUUUCUGGUGCUCAGAACAAAACAACAGCAACAACAAAACCAAAUUUAAAAAGAACAAAAGAAGUUUAAAUCAACAAGCACCACUUGUUGUCAGGUGACAUUAAUUAGGGCUGGACACAGUGGCUCACACUCAUAAUCCCAGCACUUUGAGAGGCCAAGGUGGGAAUAUUGCUUGAGCCCAGGCUUUCAAGACCAGCCUGGGCAACAUUGUGAGACCCUGUUUAUAUAAAACAACAACAACAAAAAUUUAAGCACUUUGGGAGGCCGAGGCGGGUGGAUCACGAGGUCAAGAGAUCGAGACCAUCCUGGUCAACAUGGUGAAACCCCAUCUCUACUAAAAAUACAAAAAAUUACCUGGGCAUGGUGGUACGUGUCUGUAAUCCCAGCUACUCAAGAGGCUGAGGCAGGAGAAUUGCCUAAACCCAGGAGGUGGAGGUUGCAGUGAGCCGAGAUCGCGCCAUUGCAUUCCAGCCUGGGUAGCAAGAGCGAAACUCCGUCUCAAAAAAAAAAAAAAAAGAUAUUUGGGAUAUCCUUUUUGUUUUUUUUGGAUAUGGUCUCACUUUUUCAUGCAGGCUGGAGGGCAGUGGUGCAAACACAGCUCACUGCAGCCUUGACCUCCCAGGUUCAAGCGAUCUUCCUGCCUCGGUUCCCCAAGUAGCUGGGACUACAGGCCCAUUCCACCACACCCAGCUAAAUUUUGUAUUUUUUGUAGAGAUGGGUAUUUGCCAUGUUGCCCAGGUAGUCUUGAAUCCCUAGGCUGAAGAAAUUCUCUCAUCUCAGCUUCCCAAAGUGCUAGGAUUAUAGGUAUGAGCCACUGCACCUGGCCACAUUCUUAAAUUUUAAGAUUUUGGCAAGCAUGUUACAUGAUAGAAUUUUCCUUGCUGCUUUUUCAGAGGUGAAGUAGUGACUAGAUUAACUUCACUUAUAAAUUUCUAUGGCAUUUUAUAGUAUUUUUAUGGGCUGGGUGUGGUGGCCCACACCUGUAAUCCCAGCACUUUGGGAGGUUGAGGCGGGUAGAUCACUUGAGGUCAGGAGUUGAGACCAGCCUGGCUAACAUGGUGAAACCCAUCUCUACUAAAAAUACAAAAAACUAGCCAGGUGUGGUGGUGCUCACCUGUAAUCCCUUCUACUCAGGAGGCUGAGGCAGGAGAAUUGCUUAAACCAGGGAGGUGGAGGUUGCAGGAGCCGAGAUGAUGCCAUUGAACUCCAGCCUGGGCAACAGGAGCAAAACUCCAUCUCAAAAAAAAAAAAGUUUUUAUGCUUUAUAAGUAUAAAUUUAAUGCUGUGAAUUCACGAUGCCUAAUAUGUUGCCUAUUACUUAUUUCCUUGGAUCAAUUUCCUAAAGC
RNAcentral lists this long non-coding RNA (3799 nucleotides) under Callithrix jacchus (white-tufted-ear marmoset). RNAcentral describes it as "lncRNA (ENSCJAG00000076968.1)". Lineage: Eukaryota; Metazoa; Chordata; Mammalia; Primates; Cebidae. The record is from RNAcentral.